RNAcentral lists this long non-coding RNA (756 nucleotides) under Chinchilla lanigera (long-tailed chinchilla). RNAcentral's name for it is "lncRNA (ENSCLAG00000026180.1)". Lineage: Eukaryota; Metazoa; Chordata; Mammalia; Rodentia; Chinchillidae. The record is from RNAcentral.
AAAAAAAAAUCUCUUCCUUUAGUUACAGUUCAGAAUUCAAAGUGAAUUUAAUUUGGUGAACUUGGAAGUUGACUAAAGUGUUAUUGUACCAAUAAGAAGGACUUUAGUGCUUUUACAUAGAAACUGAAAUGUCCUCAAUACAAACUAGAAGCCUAUUCCAGGAGGAUCUACAUUUCUGCUCUGUGUUCUGCCCUUCAGUGUAAAUCCCAAGUAAUUUAAAAAUUAUUAGCAUGGAGUCCUAAGUGCCAUUGAUGGUUCUGGUGUUAGUUUUCUUGUUACCAGACAAAAUAGACAACACUCACAAAUUAAAGGAUGAGAGGCUUAAUUUAACUCUGGGAUUCAAAGGGUUCAGUCCAUAGUUGGCUUGUUCCGAGGCAGAAGCAUCAUGGCAGAAGGUGUGACAGAAUGAGGGUGCUAGUCCGUAGUGCCUGGGAAACUGAGCAGGGGAACAGUGUCAGAGAGCAAGAGGCCAGGGAAGAGGUAGAAGCCCCAAGGCCACAGUGCUAUCGAUCAGCUGGACACACCCAGAACAGUGGUCCACCAAUCACCCGGGCAGCUGCCAAGCUGAUUGAGCUGACAGUUAAGCUGAACUCUCACAGUACUAUUCAACUAGAAUCGUGUCCUUUUCAUUGGGGCCUCUGCAGUGGAGUUAAUAGUGAAAGAGAAAAGCCUUCAGAGCCCACAGAAACUGAAGAGCACCAUCUGCUCUGCUGUUAUGCCCAAUUUGAAUCUGGAAGAAAACGAUUCUGCCUGUGA